RNAcentral lists this long non-coding RNA (790 nucleotides) under Neodiprion lecontei (redheaded pine sawfly). Its description in RNAcentral is "uncharacterized LOC124293250, transcript variant X1". The record is from RNAcentral. Lineage: Eukaryota; Metazoa; Arthropoda; Insecta; Hymenoptera; Diprionidae.
CAGAAGCCCUGCGUUUUUGGUUAAAUAAACACCUCUAAAGGUUUCAGCACAAACCGUAUUAUUAGUGAUCAUUAUAUUUUUCCUUGGUCGCAAGAAUUUCGAGUUUAUUUCAACUUCGUUUUGUACUUUACUUCAUGUGAAACGUUGAUUGUUUUUGCUAUUUUCUUAUUUUGCUAUUAUUUUUAUUCGCAAGUCAAAACUGCCUAUGUAUCAAUGUUGUCUUUGUCUACUGUUUAUCGUACAUCUUUCACCGGAACACGGAAUAUUCUUUGGAAUUAACUUAAGCCAUCACCGUCUGUUACUCUUAAAUGAAAACGUAAUGUCAAAGUACUUGGCGACAUGAAGUCAGAACGAGAAAUGCGCAAGGGCAUGCAUCGGUGUGAAAACAACGUUAGGCGAUGUCUUUCUUUCUUUUUCUGUCAGUUUGAACUGGUUUUACGCAAAUUCGAAAUAUUUUCGGAGUUACAGAAGAAAUAGUGAGCAAGCGUCGAGCAGGUAUACGAGCGGUGUUUUGAAGUUUUCAACCAGUUUUUUGAAGAGUCUGAACCAGUUUUUUGAAGUUUUGAACCAGUUUCUUGAAGAGUCUGAAGGGCAACUCUAUGGACCAGGAAUCGCUGAUUAGCAUAUUAAUGCGAUGGAUAUUGCGACCUUUCCCGCCGCACGACAAAUGCACACUCGAGACGCCUCGGUGAAAUGCUUGUACCAGGCAUAAUAUGACAUGUAUCUUAAUGAAAAAAUUUAAAAAGACUGCUGAAAUAUAUAACAAUAAAACCUGAAAGUUUCGUUUCAA